RNAcentral lists this ribosomal RNA (253 nucleotides) under uncultured bacterium. RNAcentral's name for it is "partial 16S ribosomal RNA". It matches the Rfam family "Bacterial small subunit ribosomal RNA", at positions 524 to 776 of the family's 1533-position model. The record is from RNAcentral.
UACGAAGGGGGCUAGCGUUGCUCGGAAUCACUGGGCGUAAAGGGUGCGUAGGUGGUCCGUUAAGUCAGUUGUGAAAUCCCCGGGCUCAACUCGGGAACUGCUUCUGAUACUGGCGGACUUGAGGCCAGUAGGGGUCACUAGAACUGACGGUGGAGCGGUGAAAUGCGUAGAUAUCGUCAGGAAUGCCGGUGGUGAAGACGGGUGACUGGGCUGGUUCUGACACUGAGGCACGAAAGCGUGGGGAGCGAACGGG